UGAUGCGAUCAUACCAGCACUAAUGCACUUGAUCCUAUCAGAACACCACAGUUAAGCGUGCUUGUGGGAGAGUAGUACUAGGAUGGGUGACCUCCAGAAAAGUCUUCGUGUUGCAUCCC
This is a ribosomal RNA of Arabidopsis thaliana (thale cress), 119 nucleotides long. NCBI's taxonomy places the organism in Eukaryota, Viridiplantae, Streptophyta, Magnoliopsida, Brassicales, Brassicaceae. The record is from Rfam.